UACGGGGGGGGCAAGCGUUGUUCGGAAUUACUGGGCGUAAAGGGCUCGUAGGCGGCCAACUAAGUCGGACGUGAAAUCCCCAGGCUCAACCUGGGAACUGCGUCUGAUACUGGAUGGCUUGAAUCCGGGAGAGGGAUGCAGAAUUCCAGGUGUAGCGGUGAAAUGCGUAGAUAUCGGGAGGAACACCAGUGGCGAAGGCGGCGACCUGGACAGAUAUUGACGCUGAGGUGCGAAAGCGUGGGGAGCAAACAGG
This 253-nucleotide ribosomal RNA is filed under the name uncultured bacterium. Its description in RNAcentral is "partial 16S ribosomal RNA". It matches the Rfam family "Bacterial small subunit ribosomal RNA", at positions 524 to 776 of the family's 1533-position model. The record is from RNAcentral.